Molecule: ribosomal RNA, 476 nt
Filed under: uncultured anaerobic ammonium-oxidizing bacterium
Lineage: Bacteria
Description: bacterial SSU rRNA
Rfam family: Bacterial small subunit ribosomal RNA
Source: RNAcentral
UUCGCAAUGCCCGAAAGGGUGACGAUGCGACGCCGCGUGAGCGAAGAAGGCCCUAGGGUUGUAAAGCUCUGUCGAGGGUCAUGAAAUAUAGAUGGGUUAAUACCCCAUUUAUUUGACAAAAGCCCAAAAGGAAGCCACGGCUAACUCUGUGCCAGCAGCCGCGGUAAUACAGAGGUGGCGAGCGUUGUUCGGUAUUAUUGGGCGUAAAGAGCACGUAGGUGGUUUUGUAAGUCAGGUGUGAAAGCCUUCUGUUCAAAGGAAGAACGGCAUCUGAAACUGCAGAUCUUGAGUGUAGGAGGGGAGAGUGGAACUUCUGGUGGAGCGGUGAAAUGCGUAGAUAUCAGAGGGAACGUCGGCGGCGAAAGCGACUCUCUGGCCUAUUACUGACACUGAGGUGCGAAAGUUAGGGGAGCAAACGGGAUUAGAUACCCCGGUAGUCCUAACCGUAAACGAUGGGCACUAAGUAGAGGGGUUUU